AAACUUAAAACAGUGUGCGCGGGGGCCGCGGUCUGGUUCUCUUUCAAUUUCCCAGAGCCUGGAAAACGACCAAACAGUCCCUUCUCUAAAACCCUCCUACUUUCUCUAGAACCCCCAAAAUCAGAAGAAACAGGGGUAGAUGGAUUCAGCUCGGAAAGGCCAAGCAGUAUGCGGGCAGGAGGCACUGAAUUUGCUCAACUGCGUGACCGAAACCCCUUACGAUCAAGAGAAGUGCCUCCGUCUCCUUCAGUCGUUGCGCCAAUGCGUCCUCGACAAGAGAGUGAAGAAAUUCUCAUUGGCCGAAGAAAACCAAGGAAGUGUUGAUGCGAGUAGCGAGAAGAAACAUUAAUCACUUGUGAUUGCUAGACAUGUAUUAAACUUGACCAGGUUGUUGCACUAUUUUUUCAGCUAACAGUGAUUGAGGCUAGACAAUGAAAGAUGAUUGCACAUUGCAUAAUCAAGAGGGCCAAGGUUUUCUGCUUAAUGAUGAUCUUAUCCUGUAUUUCAUACUAAAACAUCAGAAACUCUUCCUUUCAUGUCAUUUUCAAUUUAAAGAGCUCCUUUUGAAGGCUAGGUAGGACUUGUUCUUCUGCACCUUCGAUUUACAAGUUGAUGUUGUCUCUAUGAUGAUUCAAAGCAUUUGACAAGAACCUUUGGAACGCUCCAGAAAGUUGAAAUUGCACAA
Long non-coding RNA from Coffea eugenioides, 685 nucleotides. RefSeq lists it as uncharacterized. The record is from RefSeq and is a predicted model, not a curated record. Lineage: Eukaryota; Viridiplantae; Streptophyta; Magnoliopsida; Gentianales; Rubiaceae. The transcript has 2 exons.